This 769-nucleotide ribosomal RNA is filed under the name uncultured bacterium. RNAcentral describes it as "bacterial SSU rRNA". It matches the Rfam family "Bacterial small subunit ribosomal RNA", at positions 68 to 832 of the family's 1533-position model. The record is from RNAcentral.
GGCAGCACGGACUUCGGUCUGGUGGCGAGUGGCGAACGGGUGAGUAAUAUAUCGGAACGUGCCCAGUCGUGGGGGAUAACGUAGUGAAAAUUACGCUAAUACCGCAUACGAUCUAAGGAUGAAAGCGGGGGAUCGCAAGACCUCGCGCGAUUGGAGCGGCCGAUAUCAGAUUAGGUAGUUGGUGAGGUAAAGGCUCACCAAGCCAACGAUCUGUAGCUGGUCUGAGAGGACGACCAGCCACACUGGAACUGAGACACGGUCCAGACUCCUACGGGAGGCAGCAGUGGGGAAUUUUGGACAAUGGACGCAAGUCUGAUCCAGCCAUUCCGCGUGCAGGACGAAGGCCUUCGGGUUGUAAACUGCUUUUGUACAGAACGAAAAGGUCUCUAUUAAUACUAGGGGCUCAUGACGGUACUGUAAGAAUAAGCACCGGCUAACUACGUGCCAGCAGCCGCGGUAAUACGUAGGGUGCAAGCGUUAAUCGGAAUUACUGGGCGUAAAGCGUGCGCAGGCGGUUAUAUAAGACAGAUGUGAAAUCCCCGGGCUCAACCUGGGAACUGCAUUUGUGACUGUAUAGCUGGAGUGCGGCAGAGGGGGAUGGAAUUCCCCGUGUAGCAGUGAAAUGCGUAGAUAUGCGGAGGAACACCGAUGGCGAAGGCAAUCCCCUGGGCCUGCACUGACGCUCAUGCACGAAAGCGUGGGGAGCAAACAGGAUUACAUACCCUGGUAGUCCACGCCCUAAACGAUGUCAACUGGUUGUUGGGUCUUC